This 1017-nucleotide ribosomal RNA is filed under the name Ceratosphaerella rhizomorpha. RNAcentral's name for it is "partial 28S ribosomal RNA". It matches the Rfam family "Eukaryotic small subunit ribosomal RNA", at positions 81 to 1107 of the family's 1831-position model. Lineage: Eukaryota; Fungi; Ascomycota; Sordariomycetes; Magnaporthales; Ophioceraceae. The record is from RNAcentral.
GCGAAACUGCGAAUGGCUCAUUAAAUCAGUUAUUGUUUAUUUGAUAGUACCUUACUACUUGGAUAACCGUGGUAAUUCUAGAGCUAAUACAUGCUAAAAACCUCGACUUCGGAAGGGGUGUAUUUAUUAGAUUAAAAACCAAUGCCCUUCGGGGCUCUAUGGUGAUUCAUAAUAACUAUACGGAUCGCACGGCCUUGCGCUGGCGACGGCUCAUUCAAAUUUCUGCCCUAUCAACUUUCGACGGCUGGGUAGUGGCCAGCCGUGGUGAUAACGGGUAACGGAGGGUUAGGGCUCGACCCCGGAGAAAACGCCUGAGAAACGGCGUUUACAUCCAAGGAAGGCAGCAGGCGCGCAAAUUACCCAAUGCCGACUCGGCGAGGUAGUGACGAUAAAUACCGGUACGGGGCUCUUUCGGGUCUCGUAACUGGAAUGAGUACAAUUUAAAUCCCUUAACGAGGAACAACUGGAGGGCAAGUCUGGUGCCAGCAGCCGCGGUAAUUCCAGCUCCAGUAGCGUAUAUUAAAAUUGUUGGAGUUAAAAAGCUCGUAGUUGAACUUUGGGCCUGGCUGGCCGGUCCGCCUCAUCGCGUGUACUGGUUCGGCCGGGCCUUUCCCUCCGGGGAACCCCAUGCCCUUCACUGGGCGUGGCGGGGAACCGGGACUUUUACUUUGAAAAAAUUAAAGUGUUCAAAGCAGGCCUAUGCUCGAAUACAUUAGCAUGGAAUAAUAAAAUAGGACGUGUGGUUCUAUUUUGUUGGUUUCUAGGACCGCCGUAAUGAUUAAUAGGGACAGUCGGGGGCGUCAGUAUUCAAUUGUCAGAGGUGAAAUUCUUGGAUUUAUUGAAGACUAACUACUGCGAAGGCAUUCGUCAAGGAUGUUUUCAUUAAUCAGGAACGAAAGUUAGGGGAUCGAAGACGAUCAGAUACCGUCGUAGUCUUAACCGUAAACUAUGAUUUCUAGGGAUCGGACGGUGUUAUUUAUUGACCUGUCCGGCACCUUACACGAAAGUAUAAGAUAA